RNAcentral lists this ribosomal RNA (1105 nucleotides) under uncultured Enterobacter sp. Its description in RNAcentral is "bacterial SSU rRNA". It matches the Rfam family "Bacterial small subunit ribosomal RNA", at positions 264 to 1357 of the family's 1533-position model. The record is from RNAcentral. Lineage: Bacteria; Pseudomonadati; Pseudomonadota; Gammaproteobacteria; Enterobacterales; Enterobacteriaceae.
CUUACCAAGCCGACGAUCUGUAGCUGGUCUGAGAGGACGACCAGCCACACUGGGACUGAGACACGGUCCAGACUCCUACGGGAGGCAGCAGUGGGGAAUAUUGCACAAUGGGCGCAAGCCUGAUGCAGCCAUGCCGCGUGUAUGAAGAAGGCCUUCGGGUUGUAAAGUACUUUCAGCGGGGAGGAAGGCGUUGAGGUUAAUAACCUCAGCGAUUGACGUUACCCGCAGAAGAAGCACCGGCUAACUCCGUGCCAGCAGCCGCGGUAAUACGGAGGGUGCAAGCGUUAAUCGGAAUUACUGGGCGUAAAGCGCACGCAGGCGGUCUGUCAAGUCGGAUGUGAAAUCCCCGGGCUCAACCUGGGAACUGCAUUCGAAACUGGCAGGCUAGAGUCUUGUAGAGGGGGGUAGAAUUCCAGGUGUAGCGGUGAAAUGCGUAGAGAUCUGGAGNGNANAUACCGGUGGCGAAGGCGGCCCCCUGGACAAAGACUGACGCUCAGGUGCGAAAGCGUGGGGAGCAAACAGGAUUAGAUACCCUGGUAGUCCACGCCGUAAACGAUGUCGACUUGGAGGUUGUGCCCUUGAGGCGUGGCUUCCGGAGCUAACGCGUUAAGUCGACCGCCUGGGGAGUACGGCCGCAANGGUUAAAACUCAAAUGAAUUGACGGGGGCCCGCACAAGCGGUGGAGCAUGUGGUUUAAUUCGAUGCAACGCGAAGAACCUUACCUACUCUUGACAUCCAGAGAACUUUCCAGAGAUGGAUUGGUGCCUUCGGGAACUCUGAGACAGGUGCUGCAUGGCUGUCGUCAGCUCGUGUUGUGAAAUGUUGGGUUAAGUCCCGCAACGAGCGCAACCCUUAUCCUUUGUUGCCAGCGGUCCGGCCGGGAACUCAAAGGAGACUGCCAGUGAUAAACUGGAGGAAGGUGGGGGAUGACGUCAAGUCAUCAUGGCCCUUACGAGUAGGGCUACACACGUGCUACAAUGGCGCAUACAAAGAGAAGCGACCUCGCGAGAGCAAGCGGACCUCAUAAAGUGCGUCGUAGUCCGGAUUGGAGUCUGCAACUCGACUCCAUGAAGUCGGAAUCGCUAGUAAUCGUAGAUCAGAAUGC